GGGAGAUUGGUGGAAUGGCAGACACGGUGGACUUAAAAUCCACUGCCUUCGGGCGUGAGGGUUCGAAUCCCUCAUCUCCUACCA
RNAcentral lists this transfer RNA (84 nucleotides) under Mogibacterium diversum. Its description in RNAcentral is "tRNA-Leu". It matches the Rfam family "tRNA". Rfam says of the family: Transfer RNA (tRNA) molecules are approximately 80 nucleotides in length. Their secondary structure includes four short double-helical elements and three loops (D, anti-codon, and T loops). Lineage: Bacteria; Bacillati; Bacillota; Clostridia; Peptostreptococcales; Anaerovoracaceae. The record is from RNAcentral.